CAGUAGCCGCGGUAUACGUAGGUGGCAAGCGUUGUCCGGAAUUAUUGGGCGUAAAGGGCUCGCAGGCGGUUUCUUAAGUCUGAUGUGAAAGCCCCCGGCUCAACCGGGGAGGGUCAUUGGAAACUGGGAAACUUGAGUGCAGAAGAGGAGAGUGGAAUUCCACGUGUAGCGGUGAAAUGCGUAGAGAUGUGGAGGAACACCAGUGGCGAAGGCGACUCUCUGGUCUGUAACUGACGCUGAGGAGCGAAAGCGUGGGGAGCGAACAGGAUUAGAUACCCCCGUAGUCCCUGUCUCUUAUACA
This 301-nucleotide ribosomal RNA is filed under the name uncultured bacterium. RNAcentral describes it as "partial 16S ribosomal RNA". It matches the Rfam family "Bacterial small subunit ribosomal RNA", at positions 509 to 808 of the family's 1533-position model. The record is from RNAcentral.